This 608-nucleotide ribosomal RNA is filed under the name uncultured bacterium. RNAcentral describes it as "bacterial SSU rRNA". The stretch from base 1 to 538 matches the Rfam family "Bacterial small subunit ribosomal RNA", at positions 338 to 873 of the family's 1533-position model. The record is from RNAcentral.
CCUACGGGAGGCAGCAGUGGGGAAUCUUGCGCAAUGCACGAAAGUGUGACGCAGCAACGCCGCGUGGAGGAAGAAGGCUCUCGGGUCGUAAACUCCUUUCAGUUGGGACGAAGCUUCGUCGGUUAAUAGCCGGCUGGAGUGACGGUACCUUCACAAGAAGCACCGGCUAACUACGUGCCAGCAGCCGCGGUAAUACGUAGGGUGCAAGCGUUGUCCGGAAUCAUUGGGCGUAAAGAGCGUGUAGGCGGCCCGAUUAGUCCGCUGUGAAAGUCCAGGGCUCAACCCUGGAAUGCCGGUGGAUACUGUCGGGCUCGAGUCCGGAAGAGGCGAGUGGAAUUCCUGGUGUAGCGGUGAAAUGCGCAGAUAUCAGGAAGAACACCAACGGCGAAGGCAGCUCGCUGGGACGGUACUGACGCUGAGACGCGAAAGCGUGGGGAGCAAACAGGAUUAGAUACCCUGGUAGUCCACGCCGUAAACGAUGGGUACUAGGUGUGGGGGUGUCGCUCCCCCGUGCCGAAGCUAACGCAUAGUACCCGCCUGGGGAGACGCGCGAGAACGUAACGUAGAAGAGUAGAGNGNGAGNGCGCGACGACGACGACGAGGAGGAG